UACGUAGGGUGCAAGCGUUAAUCGGAAUUACUGGGCGUAAAGUGUGCGCAGGCGGCGUCGCAAGUCGAGUGUGAAAGCCCCGGGCUUAACUUGGGAAUGGCGCUCGAAACUACGAUGCUGGAGUGUGGCAGAGGAAGGUGGAAUUCCACGUGUAGCGGUGAAAUGCGUAGAGAUGUGGAGGAACACCGAUGGCGAAGGCAGCCUUCUGGGCCAACACUGACGCUCAUGCACGAAAGCGUGGGGAGCAAACAGG
This 253-nucleotide ribosomal RNA is filed under the name uncultured bacterium. RNAcentral's name for it is "partial 16S ribosomal RNA". It matches the Rfam family "Bacterial small subunit ribosomal RNA", at positions 524 to 776 of the family's 1533-position model. The record is from RNAcentral.